CAGUAGCCGCGGUAAUACCAGCAGCCCAAGUGGUGGUCGCGAUUAUUGGGCCUAAAGCGCUCGUAGCCGGGCCGGUAAGUCCCUUGUGAAAUCGGACGGCCUAACCGUUCGGCGUGCAAGGGAUACUGUCGGUCUUGAGGCCGGGAGACGUCCGAGGUACUCCGGGGGUAGCGGUGAAAUGUUCUGAUCCUCGGGGGACCACCGGUGGCGAAGGCGUUCGACGAGAACGGGCCUGACGGUGAGGGGCGAAGGCUAGGGGAGCAAACGGGAUUAGAGACCCGCGUAGUCCCUGUCUCUUAUU
This 301-nucleotide ribosomal RNA is filed under the name uncultured bacterium. RNAcentral describes it as "partial 16S ribosomal RNA". It matches the Rfam family "Archaeal small subunit ribosomal RNA", at positions 459 to 759 of the family's 1478-position model. The record is from RNAcentral.